CUGCCUCUUUGUUCUGAGUGCUGUAUUUAGUUCAACAGGGUGUGUGUGUGUGUGUGUGUGCGUGUGUGUGUACUCACUGUCGACAAACAGUGUUGGGUUACUGAUGGUUCUUGUUUGCUUUGCAUGGUACAAAUUGGUCUCAAAUUGAGUCAGCCCACUAUGGGUUGACCCUGAGUUUGGGUCACGGCCACUCCCACUCCUGUGGCUUCCUGUAGCCGUCUCAGUUUGAUGAUGUCAGCUGAAGCAGCUGUGUAGCUAUGCUUCCUGUAGCCAUCUCAGUUUGAUGAUGUCAGCUGAAGCAGCUGUAUAGCUAUGCUUCCUGUAGCCGUCUCAGUUUGAUGAUGUCAGCUGAAGCAGCUGUAUAGCUAUGCUUCCUGCAGAAAGCUGCAUUGUUGUUGCUGCUGCUGCUGCUGCCUGUUCUGUGGUUUAUUCCUUUUCUGUGUAGCUGCUAAUCCACAUCUCUGUGUGUUUGUUUGUGUGUGAGUGUGUGUGUGUGUGUGUGUUGGGGUGAGGGGGGUUUAAGGGGGUGGUGAUGGUCUCCAUUAAAUCAGUAAACGUUGCACGGUUUCACCUAUUUUACUCACGGAGAGGAAAAAGAGAUUGUCAGUUGGCACACAGCGAUGAUGUCAUCAUCUCACGUGUCAACACUAUUGUUUACUGUUGGCUCCAUAGAUGGUACAUUCCUAACAGACUUUCAGUGAUUAAUGCUAGUUAAAAACUAGCUAAUUUCCACUUUGUAUGGCAAUGUCAUUGCGCACAUUGUUACAUUUAGUAUCAAUAUCAGGAUUUUUCUAAUCCCGAUGUUCAAUUGGUAUGACUUUACCAAUCCAGAACGUUUCAGUUAUGAAGCAGUCAAAUGGGGGUCAGAGGAGCCUUUCCUUGUCGUUUGAUGACUUCUUCUGAAGCCGCUAGAGUGUGGAGGGUUAAAGGUCGAGGCUUCAGAUGGUCUCACUCUUAAGGGUGUCGGAUCACUAGGGCUGUGCUAGAGCAGGAGUGUGCUCACUGGGAUUCAUUCUGCUGAAGUACAAAUUAAUUUAAGAUGUGAAGAUCAUUUAUUUAAUCUGUUGACGAUCUGUGAAAAAAACACAGUUGCAAGCACAUUGUACACACUUUCUCACACACGCACACACUCACAAACAUUUACAUGCUCUCUCUCAUCCGCUCUUUCUCUCUCUCUCUCUCUCUCACACACACAGGCCCGCACACACACACACACACACACACACACACUGCAGAUUGCAAACCUUCACACAGAUACACAUAAAACACUACUUAAGUACAGUUACUUUUGGUCACCCCAUGGCUAUACUAUUUAUUUAUAUUUAUUUACUGUAAAUACAUUUGUUAUUUAUUGGCAUAGUUUUUUUUCAUACAAAGGAAUCCCUAGCUUUAUAUUUUGACAGAUAUAAAGCCUUACACAAAUCGCCCACGCACACACACACACACACACACUCAUCAUAUGACCUGGAGUCCUUGACUGCUCCACUUCUUUCAAGUUUCCUUGGAGUGCUGUUCGUUCCCACAGACAGAUUAAAACACGCUCACAGUCACACACACACACACACACACACGUUCAGAAAUUGUAGUUUCUCUUAGGGUUAUUCUCAUCAUCUUCUCGUUCUUCCUCAUCUCUUCACACAUCAUACAGACACACACUUCUGCACCUGCCAAACACACUUGCAUAAGCACAAAUGCACUUCGCCCACACUCACAAACACACAGACAUGGAUACAUAUAGAAAGUGAUAUGUCAAUAGACCCACAUUAGGCCAUGUGGCACUAACAACAAGGGACGCUGGCGGCGUAGUUAUAUACAGCAGUUGCCAUUCCUUUAUCGAGGUGUUUGUGAAUUGGGCAUCACUGUCAGACCCAGAGAGAUCACAUAGAGCCACGAACUCCAUGACCUCUGGUUCCUGUCUCAUUCUGAUAGGAUCAGACUGAUGCCGGUGACUGUUGCCAUGGACACAGCUCAGGAGAGACGAGGUGUCCAGCUAGACCAUGGCCAUCCAUGUGCAGCAGUGUCCAUGCCCCCCCCCCCACACACACACACACACACACCCACACACCAUCCUGACACAGCCUCUGGUAAUCCCUUGAGAAUUACUGAGCUUGCGCCGAAAGAAGCACAGAUUGACCUAGAUUAUGCUUUCACACACACAGACACUUGCCAGCUCACAUCCGCAUAGCAGCAAAGUCUGUAAGCUUACACUCUGAAAACAAAGAUCAGUCAGUGUUCUCCUUCUGUCUGUUUUAAGUGUUCUCACAUUCACACACCUUUCCAAAAGCACAUUAACACACACACACACAUAGAGUACAGGAUAUGUGAUGAUUGUGUCUUUCACAUGAGUAAGCUAACCUGCCUUAUCCAUUUCAAUACUCUUCUAACACAUCCGUUUGGAUAUUUGUUGUUGUUGAUGUUAUCUGGUCCGCACAUGCAAACCUUCAGUAAGGCGAAGCGUAAGAGAACUGCUGCAGGAGUCCUUGCCACGAACGGGCCUGAGCCCCCACAAGAACCCAAGUUCUAGUCCGGUCUGAGGGCCUUUCUUGGUUCCACUUGGUCCAGCACAUUUCCUGUCAUAAUCUCUACUGUCCUAUCAGUACAGACUAAAGAAAGCCCAAAACAAGAGGCCUGCUUGCUAGAGGUGUCACUACAGUGGCUAUAUGAUGACUAUAUAUGUUAACUAGUUUAAUUUUAAAAAGUCUAUAAAAUAAAUGCAUGUGGAAAUUAUAUCCGCAAAUUGACCUAACGCAAGUAUAAUGGAUGACGGACUGCACGGUGUUCAGCUAGAAAACGCACUUUAUGGUGUAACGGCAUUA
This is a long non-coding RNA of Clupea harengus (Atlantic herring), 2816 nucleotides long. The record is from Ensembl. NCBI's taxonomy places the organism in Eukaryota, Metazoa, Chordata, Actinopteri, Clupeiformes, Clupeidae.